This 995-nucleotide long non-coding RNA is filed under the name Camelus dromedarius (Arabian camel). RNAcentral describes it as "lncRNA (ENSCDRG00005013550.1)". Lineage: Eukaryota; Metazoa; Chordata; Mammalia; Artiodactyla; Camelidae. The record is from RNAcentral.
CACUGCUUUCAGUAGGGUGGGAGCUGCCUUCCACUCAGAGCUAAAACUCCAGGUUCUACAGCUGCCUUUCCAGAGGUCAUGUUCACUGCUACCUUACAGGAGGCCUGGAACACCCCUCCUAUAUCUGCCCGUGGACCCAGCAGUCUGGACUUUUGCCCCAACAGAUCUGUGGUCUAAUGAUGGGAGGAAAGGCUUACAAUCGAGAAAAACCUACCCAGAGCCUAGCCUUUCCCCUGCCCAUUGGGCGUGUCUGUUCCUGUCCCUGUCUGACACCUGGCUGUGAAGGACAUCGAAGUCAUUGGGUGACACUGGUCAGUUACCCCAGACGAAAGCGGAGGUUGAGUCCUUAGCUUACAACGCAGGAGUGUCAUGAUGACCGAGUAUUAGCUCCCAGGUUAUAUGGUUGCACACACUCAGGGCCAACAAAACCAAAGGCAAAAACCAAUGGCAGGAGCAGCAAGAACGUGAGGAGACUAGAGAGUCAAGGGUGACCAGAGUCCAGCCCAGCGGAUUGUGUGUGCCCAGCUGCUCUGGGAUCGUCAGACAGGAGGAGAAUGCAAACCCCAAGACCUGGGUGAUGCUUCUCAGGUAUGGCUAGUCUGACACCUUUCUUUCUCUAUUUUUUAAGUUUUAAAUUUAGUUUAAAUUAUAUAGAUGAAAUUAUAUUUAAUGAUGUUGAUGAAAAUGGCAAUCAAAAAUCCCACAACAGCCUGGUAUGUUCAUAGAUCCAGUGACAUCUGAAUACACAUGUAGGUCACACCUGCUUCCUGCACAUGGAGCCCUGCUGAGCAAGGUGGAGCAUAGCUGCUGGGGGAUGGGAUCCCCACCCAGAGUUCUGGGCUCAUGAACAUCCAGGCACAUUUGAAAAGUUAAAUAUCAAGUUAAAAAGUAGAAGCGAGCCAUCAAAAUUGAAUAAGUGAGACAUUUAAGGGACAUAAUUUGGAGAUGAAAAAGAAGUGUUAAUUGAAGUAAAUUUUAUGUUAUAUGUAUAUUGU